This 484-nucleotide ribosomal RNA is filed under the name uncultured bacterium. RNAcentral describes it as "partial 16S ribosomal RNA". It matches the Rfam family "Bacterial small subunit ribosomal RNA", at positions 30 to 507 of the family's 1533-position model. The record is from RNAcentral.
AUUGAACGCUGGCGGCAGGCCUAACACAUGCAAGUCGAGCGGAUGAAGGGAGCUUGCUCGUGGUUUCAGAGGCGGAAGGGGGAGUAAUGCCUAGGAAUCUGCCUGGUAGUGGGGUAGAAUGUCUGGAAACGGGUGCUAAUACUGCAUAAGUGCUGAGGGUGAAAGUGGGGGGUCGUCGGAACUCUUGCUCUCAGGUGAGUCUAGGUCGGGUUGGUUAGUUGGUGGGGUGAGGGCCGACCAAGGCGGCGAUCCGUAACUGGUCUGAUAGGAUGGUCAGUCACACUGGAGGUGAGACACGGUCCAGAGUCCUACGGGAGGCAGCAGUGGGGAACAGUGGACAACGGGGGAAAGCCUGAUCCAGCGAUGCCGCGUGUGUGAAGAAGGUCUUCGGAUUGGAAAGCACGUUAUGUUGGGAGGAAGGGCAGUAAGUUAAUACCUUGCUGUUUUGACGGUACCAACAGAAUAAGCACCGGCUAACUUCGUG